Molecule: long non-coding RNA, 301 nt
Organism: Saccostrea cuccullata (small rock oyster)
Lineage: Eukaryota; Metazoa; Mollusca; Bivalvia; Ostreida; Ostreidae
Exons: 3
Source: RefSeq, a predicted model, not a curated record
UUGUGCUGUCUUCAUGAUCCUACCAUCAAGAAUGGAAUGGAGAUAUUUUUCAUUUGUUUGUCAAAUGGUAUCCUAUUGUAUUCAAGGAAAUAAAGGCAUUUGUCCAAAUCCACUCAACGACGAUGGAUCAGGGGUGUGCUGUUUAAACUUUUACAGGGAAGGGGAUGUCUGUCAAGAAUGUCCACCCAGAUACUUCCGAUCAAAUUGUUCUCAAAUUUGUCCUGAACCAUAUAACGGAAAGUUAUGUGGUUUUAAAUGCAGUAGCUGUACAAACUGUAACCAUGCUGAUGGUUGUUCAUUA